RNAcentral lists this small RNA (427 nucleotides) under Bos taurus (domestic cattle). Lineage: Eukaryota; Metazoa; Chordata; Mammalia; Artiodactyla; Bovidae. The record is from RNAcentral.
AGCGGAAUUCGUGAGACCAGAAACAGUUCCACCUUCCUUUCCAUAGACACUUGGAGGAAUUUAGCUCUGGUUAUUGUCAGAGGUAUCUUUUGGAAUCUAUUGAGUACAUAUCUCUUGAUACAGGAGGUCCAUGUGGAUUAUGAACUGCAUAGGUAUUUGUGGGUAUAAGUCUAUUCCAGCCUUGACCUGUUGGCCUCUCACCCACCAAAACCCUUUGCCAACUGUAAUUUUCUUACCAGGAGUGUAAGUCCAUUUCACUUUUCCUUGGGUACUCAUCCCAUCAAUAUGUUUUUUAAUCCCUUCUGGAAGGCAUAUGUUGUAAUAUCUCUUUAAUCUGCCUUUCUUUACUUACUGUGAUUCGCUCUAGGUUUCUGCAUAUUCCUGCAAAUGGCUUUUUUUUUUUUUUUUUUUUUUUUUUUUUUUUUUU